This 21-nucleotide non-coding RNA is filed under the name Arabidopsis thaliana (thale cress). Lineage: Eukaryota; Viridiplantae; Streptophyta; Magnoliopsida; Brassicales; Brassicaceae. The record is from RNAcentral.
UAUAACAACAAGACCUCUGCU